AGCCGGAAUAUGAACUGAAACCAGCCGGUCAUUUCCGGCUGAGCUUAACUGGGAUACGUUAACAAUUGGUGAACAACGGCAUGGUGUCGUAGCAAGGAAUCUUGGACAUCUAUCGCUAGGACACCGGAGUCUAAGUCUGCCAUGUGACGUAUGCCUUCCAGCUUAACGAAAUGACAAUCCAGUUGAAGAUUGAGAAGGUUCCUGGUUAUCCAAAUAACUUGCGAAUAAACUCACAAGAAUGGCUUGCUUUCGCAUUUUACUAGAAACAACGCAAAACGUUCAGUAUAAGUUAGUCAUCGAUUCAUGGAUAUCGGCCGAACAUAUUACUGUGGUCGAACAUAGACGGCCACCGAACACAAGUUAGGUACGUCCGAAUACUCAUAAGUGAUCCACGCGAUUACCUUAGUAGAAGCACUUAUGUCCCACCCUUAAAUAUCAAAGGAAAAUUCCACAGAAAUCUUUCUUGCUUUGAAACCUCCUAACCAACCAUAGUAGAAUGGUAUCCUGCUGUGAAAGCAGUUCGACCCAAUGACAAGGAAAUCAAUCCCACACAGGGCUUCAACUGAAAAACUGUUGAGACGCACACAUAUUGACAAUGAAACUACGCAGUACAUAUGAUAAACGCUUACACUAGUCAAUGUUGUGAUGACCUAGCUCAAUAUACUUCAUAUGGUCUUCGGCAGCAAAGAAAUAGCAUGGGAAAAUAGGGCGAUACAAGGUGUACAUCGGAAUCGAAGAAUUGUUUGAAAAGAAACCACCACUGCCAAACUCAGUAAUCGAAGAACCUGAAGUUAUUGACUAACUACGUGUUUUGGGUGUUAUUGCUACCUUAUGUACUACGUACGAGUAUGGUUCGGCUUCCAGUGUGGAAAUUAUCAGCUCCCGAUUACCACCGGCCUGAUCUUUUGUACUGUACGCUAACAUACACGAAACGGUGCUCCUUCAAGGGCAUGGGACUUGCCAGUUUCAAUUAACGGCUUCUACAAGAGUUGAAGGAAGCGAUAAAUCUGAAACCGGCACAAUUUCCCUCAAUAAAAAAAAACUCAAGGGUAUUACCAGUCAGUAAUUUGUGACGCCAUGAAACACUGGUGCUACCUUGAAGGCAGGUUGACGUUUCAGCACCGGCGACGAUCGAGUGCCAAGGUGACCCAGCGAAGGAAACAGGAACGAGAAAGCUGAUUGUGAAGGACAAAACCCAAUACAUCAAAGAUUACUAGAAUUAAGAUGCAGUGAACUCUACGUCAAACUGGGGACGGCAUGCAAUAGUUGAAUUCGUCAUUUUAGUCGAUGAUAGACCGAGAAGCAAAGAGUGAGAAUUAUAUCCAGUUGUAACAACAUAGUAUCGAGUUCUACUCCACCAGCCGACCUUCGGCUAAUUCUCAAGCCAGUGGCACUUUGCUGGCUCAUAACUAUACACAAUUAGGGGAUAAAAAGUAAAAUUUAAAUCAUACUCUUCUUAUUACAAUAUUUUCCGAAACUGCCAACCGAAAUAAACAUAAAAAUCGACACAAAGAAGAAGAACCAAGAACCGAUUCAAGAAUGGUCGGACAUCUAC
Topomyia yanbarensis is the source of this 1555-nucleotide long non-coding RNA. RefSeq lists it as uncharacterized. The transcript has 3 exons. NCBI's taxonomy places the organism in Eukaryota, Metazoa, Arthropoda, Insecta, Diptera, Culicidae. The record is from RefSeq and is a predicted model, not a curated record.